GUGAACCAGUACCGUGAGGGAAAGGCGAAAAGAACCCCGGCGAGGGGAGUGAAAAAGAACCUGAAACCGUGUACGUACAAGCAGUGGGAGCACAGAGCAAUCUGUGUGACUGCGUACCUUUUGUAUAAUGGGUCAGCGACUUAUAUUCUGUAGCAAGGUUAACCGAAUAGGGGAGCCGAAGGGAAACCGAGUCUUAACUGGGCGUUAAGUUGCAGGGUAUAGACCCGAAACCCGGUGAUCUAGCCAUGGGCAGGUUGAAGGUUGGGUAACACUAACUGGAGGACCGAACCGACUAAUGUUGAAAAAUUAGCGGAUGACUUGUGGCUGGGGGUGAAAGGCCAAUCAAACCGGGAGAUAGCUGGUUCUCCCCGAAAGCUAUUUAGGUAGCGCCUCGUGAAUUCAUCUCCGGGGGUAGAGCACUGUUUCGGCAAGGGGGUCAUCCCGACUUACCAACCCGAUGCAAACUGCGAAUACCGGAGAAUGUUAUCACGGGAGACACACGGCGGGUGCUAACGUCCGUCGUGAAGAGGGAAACAACCCAGACCGCCAGCUAAGGUCCCAAAGUCAUGGUUAAGUGGGAAACGAUGUGGGAAGGCCCAGACAGCCAGGAUGUUGGCUUAGAAGCAGCCAUCAUUUAAAGAAAGCGUAAUAGCUCACUGGUCGAGUCGGCCUGCGCG
This 677-nucleotide ribosomal RNA is filed under the name Escherichia coli. Its description in RNAcentral is "partial 23S ribosomal RNA". It matches the Rfam family "Bacterial large subunit ribosomal RNA", at positions 490 to 1165 of the family's 2925-position model. The record is from RNAcentral. Lineage: Bacteria; Pseudomonadati; Pseudomonadota; Gammaproteobacteria; Enterobacterales; Enterobacteriaceae.